GGGGAUUGGAGAGCUUGCUUUCCAUGAGAGUGGCGUACGGGUGCGUAACGCGUAUGCAACCUACCUUAAUCAGGGGGAUAGCCCGAAGAAAUUCGGAUUAACACCGCAUAAAAACACAGUACCGCAUGGUACAAUGUUCAAAUAUUUAUAGGAUUAAGAUGGGCAUGCGUGACAUUAGUUUGUUGGUGAGGUAACGGCUCACCAAGACUACGAUGUCUAGGGGAUCUGAGAGGAUGACCCCCCACACUGGUACUGAGACACGGACCAGACUCCUACGGGAGGCAGCAGUAAGGAAUAUUGGUCAAUGGAGGCAACUCUGAACCAGCCAUGCCGCGUGCAGGAAGACUGCCCUAUGGGUUGUAAACUGCUUUUGUACGGGAAUAAACCUUAGUUCGUGAACUAAGCUGAAUGUACCGUAAGAAUAAGGAUCGGCUAACUCCGUGCCAGCAGCCGCGGUAAUACGGAGGAUCCAAGCGUUAUCCGGAUUUAUUGGGUUUAAAGGGAGCGUAGGCGGCUCAUUAAGUCAGGGGUGAAAACUUGCAGCUCUACUGUAAGCUUGCCUUUGAUACUGAUGAGCUUGAAUGUAGUUGAGGUGGGCGGAAUGUGACAAGUAGCGGUGAAAUGCAUAGAUAUGUCACAGAACACCAAUUGCGAAGGCAGCUCACUAAGCUAUGAUUGACGCUGAGGCUCGAAAGCGUGGGGAUCAAACAGGAUU
RNAcentral lists this ribosomal RNA (715 nucleotides) under uncultured Bacteroidota bacterium. RNAcentral describes it as "bacterial SSU rRNA". It matches the Rfam family "Bacterial small subunit ribosomal RNA", at positions 68 to 779 of the family's 1533-position model. The record is from RNAcentral. Lineage: Bacteria; Pseudomonadati; Bacteroidota.